This 2357-nucleotide long non-coding RNA is filed under the name Mus musculus (house mouse). Its description in RNAcentral is "long non-coding RNA chr8:45632147-45634504". The record is from RNAcentral. Lineage: Eukaryota; Metazoa; Chordata; Mammalia; Rodentia; Muridae.
AAAUAUCUAUAAAUCAUUUCUGAAAACGCUAAGUCAUGUAUUCAGCUGUAGAGACGCAUUUCUGUAACUGUUGAUCACUGUAAGUAGCCCAAUAACUCUGAUCCGGUAUAAGUUCCAUCAAGGUUAUAAAUGUUGGAUGGAGGAUGGAGUACGCUUGCUAAGACAGGGCCGGGGAAGUCUUACAAUGUGUCAGACUUAGAUCAACUAUUAUACUUUCCAAUCUUCAAAACAGAAUUGUUCAUUAAAUAGGAAUUUUGGCCAAAAGACACCAGUUUUCUUCUCCCUAUUUGAAUCAAGUAUAUGUAGGCCUACCAUUGCUUCUGCUUGCUAGAUUUCCUUUGAGCAAAAUUCAAAGAGCUGUCAUUCUUCCUCAAUCUAACCAAGAAACAUCUCUAAGAAAAUAUUUCCAUUCCCCUCAGAUAUAAAUGUUAGCAACAUUUCUUAAGUUCUUUUUGUGCACAUAUUAUAAAUAUAGGAAAAUCAAAUAAGAAAGAGGCUUAAUUGAAAUCUUCAGGGACCUUUAAAAUGCAUGUUCGUAUGUCCUCUUGUUCUGGGGAUGUCUUUAUCCAAUGCAGACAUUUACCUCCUCUACUUUUCCUUUGAGAAGUGUUCACAAAGGAAGGCAAAUAUUAAAAAGGGUUUUCCUAUAAUGAACCAUGACCUCUUUCUUCAGAAGGAUGUAACUUUGUGCAGUAGUAAGAAAGCAGCAGUUCGCAGGCUUAGCUUGGGCUAACAUUCUUACAGAUUAUCAAAGUGAGUCCAGGCCGACCAAUGGCCAACCAAAGGCCAACCUUUUCAGAUUCCUUUCCUACUCAAUCUUUGGUAAAAGUUGAGAGCAGGGGCCACAAAAAUGUUUCUGAUUCCAUAUUCCCUCCUUGUUCUUCUCCCUGUGGCUUCCUUGAGAGCAAUGUUUCUCAGCCUGUGGAUGGCAACCCCAUUUGGGGUCAAAUGAUCUUUUCACAGUGGUAGCCUACAACAUUUACAUUAUGAUUCAUAACAGUAGCAAAGUUACAGUUAUAUUAAGUAGCAAUGAAAGUAAUUUUAUGGCUGGAAUGCACCCCCAACAGGAAGGUUGGGAACCACUGACUUAGAAACUAAGGUGUUUGUAAGGGUUAGCUAUGAGGACCAAUAAGCUACAACAAAAAGGGACUUCUGACCAAGAUUGCCAAUUUAGAAAAUUCCUAACAGAAAUUACAAAUGCCAGUAAGACUAGAGUGAAGCUUUUUUUUUUUUAAGUGCACAGAAAAAACAAAACAACAAUAACAAAAUCCAUAUAUAUUCUGGCCACACUGGAGAAAAUACUUUUGUUUAAAUGUUCCUUCUAUCCUCUACAAAGCCCAUGUGCAUUUUAGGUCUCCCAGGAAGUGACUGGCAUUGAGGUGACAUCCCUAUAAAUAGAAAUGUGCCUACACUUAUGACUACGGGGUCUUUCUCCACCUCUUAACUAAGCCUCCCCUGCUUCCGGCCUCAUUAGGACGUUGAACAUUUUACACCCUGUACCCAUACUUGAUACCGCUUAGGAAAAGAACCCAACAGUAACAACAAGAAGCUUAGGGAGCCCACAGUGGAUGCUGAAGUGAUGACUUCUUGUGGCUUGCCAAUGCGCCACCCCACCUUAUUCUGUCAUUUUCUGUGCUGAAGUUAAUCAGGCAAAGAGGAUCAGGUCACAGCAACCCCAUCUGUGUUUGUGCUCACUGUGUAGUCUGGUGAAGGUUUAGUGUACUCUGAAACAAGUGCACAUAAUCUGUCAGCUACAUAAGUGUGUGGAAAAUUCCAUAGUUUAUGCUGUGAGAGUAAAAAAAAACCUUUUGAAAGGACUUGUCUCUUACUAGCCAGAUCUGGAUUUUUUUUCCCCUUUGUUAUUGUUCUUAAGGAUUUACAUGAUUUUAUUUGAUGUGUAUGGAUAUUUUCCCUGCACCUAGCACUUACAGGACAUUGUGUGGUACCUGUGGAGUCCAGAGAGGCUAUCAGAUCCCCUUGGAAUUUGGGAGUUGCAGAAGGUUGUGGACUACCACAUGGACGCAGGAACUUAGGUAGCCACGGUUCUCAGCUAGAGCAUCAGUUGCUCUUAGCCACUGAUCCAGCUCUCUGACUCCCUUGACUUCUUUGAAAGAGGCCAGGCUGGCUUCCAACCCCUAAUCCUCCUGCCUCUGCUUCCUGAGUACUGAGAUUGCAAACAUUUGCUACCACAUCCAGAUAGACUGCCAGAUCUAUAUAAACAACAUAGUGGUCAAGAUGAAAAUGUUAGAACCAAUCGGUUGUUCCAACAGCGCAGAUAGUCUUGUGUUUUGUGUGCUUGUCUGCUAGGUUAGACAAUUUUAGGUAAGGGGAGGUCAUGUGAGUACCUAAGGUUAAAA